Molecule: long non-coding RNA, 1065 nt
Organism: Carassius carassius (crucian carp)
Lineage: Eukaryota; Metazoa; Chordata; Actinopteri; Cypriniformes; Cyprinidae
Exons: 5
Source: RefSeq, a predicted model, not a curated record
CACAUCCAAAGCCUCUCAUGAAGACACCAAAUAUAUUGUGUUUGAAAACUGUCUUCUUGAACUGUUUGAGACCUGUCCAGUAUGUUCAAUAGCCUGCAAUAUUCAGCCUCGUAGCAAUGGGACUUUUUUGGCCAUUGAUCAACGUUGCCUGCAUUGUGAGUACUUCAGACAGUGGAAGAGCCAACCCUGUGUUUGCAGUACCCCUGUUGGUAACCUCCAGCUGUCUGCUUCCCUGUACUUCUCUGGAGCUUCAUUCUUCCAGAUGAAAAAGGUAUUUGAGUCAAUGCAUUUGAAGAUGUUCACAUACAGAACCUUCAGAAGGCAUGCCAGCAUGUACCUGGAACCACUAAUAAUUUAUAAGUGGAAGAAGGAACAGGUGGAUUUAUUGAAGGAUCUCUGUGAGGCAGACAAGGUGAUAAUUGGUGGCGAUAUGAGAGCUGAUUCGCCAGGCCAUUCAGCAAAGUAUGGGAGCUACACCACAAUGGAUCUUCAAAAGAACCUCAUAAUAGACAUCCAGCUAGUGCAAAGUUAUGAGGUCGGUGGUAGCUACCACAUGGAGAAAGAAGGGUUAAAACGAAGCCUGGAAUGGCUGAGGAAUGUGGUGUAAGGCUAGACUGCAUUGUGACAGACCGACAUCCCCAGAUUCAAAAGUUUCUGAAAGAACGAAACGUCACACAGUACUAAGAUGUCUGGCAUUUGGAGAAAGGGUUGUCAAAGAAGUUAGAGCAAAUUGCCAGAGUCAAUGACUGUUCAAUAGUGAAAAAGUGGCAGCACAGCAUAAGAAACCAUCUCUACUGGACUGCAGCAUCCUCUACAUCAGGACCAACGAAGGUAGCCAAGUGGAAGUCCCUCAUCAAUCACAUUCAGGAUGUUCACAUCCAUGAUGAUCCAUUAUACCCACAAUGUGAACAUUCACAUCGAGUGUCUAAGGGCAGCAGUAAACACUUCAAACCUGGUGAGUGCAUAGUAUUUCAUAUUAUUACCAUUACCAAUCAAAGUGGCUGACUGUUGUUCAUCUGUGUGUCCCACAGUGCUAAUACGGUUUCCAUUAUCCUUCACACAAAU